GAUGAACGCUGGCGGCGUGCCUAAUACAUGCAAGUCGAGCGAACAGACGAGGAGCUUGCUCCUCUGACGUUAGCGGCGGACGGGUGAGUAACACGUGGAUAACCUACCUAUAAGACUGGGAUAACUUCGGGAAACCGGAGCUAAUACCGGAUAAUAUAUUGAACCGCAUGGUUCAAUAGUGAAAGACGGUUUUGCUGUCACUUAUAGAUGGAUCCGCGCCGCAUUAGCUAGUUGGUAAGGUAACGGCUUACCAAGGCAACGAUGCGUAGCCGACCUGAGAGGGUGAUCGGCCACACUGGAACUGAGACACGGUCCAGACUCCUACGGGAGGCAGCAGUAGGGAAUCUUCCGCAAUGGGCGAAAGCCUGACGGAGCAACGCCGCGUGAGUGAUGAAGGCCUUCGGACCGUAAAACUCUGUUAUUAGGGAAGAACAAAUGUGUAAGUAACUAUGCACGUCUUGACGGUACCUAAUCAGAAAGCCACGGCUAACUACGUG
Molecule: ribosomal RNA, 497 nt
Filed under: uncultured bacterium
Lineage: Bacteria
Description: partial 16S ribosomal RNA
Rfam family: Bacterial small subunit ribosomal RNA
Source: RNAcentral